UACGAAGGGGGCUAGCGUUGCUCGGAAUCACUGGGCGUAAAGGGUGCGUAGGCGGGUCUUUAAGUCAGGGGUGAAAUCCUGGAGCUCAACUCCAGAACUGCCUUUGAUACUGAGAGCUUGAGUCCGGGAGAGGUGAGUGGAACUGCGAGUGUAGAGGUGAAAUUCGUAGAUAUUCGCAAGAACACCAGUGGCGAAGGCGGCUCACUGGCCCGGUACUGACGCUGAGGUGCGAAAGCGUGGGGAGCAAACAGGG
RNAcentral lists this ribosomal RNA (253 nucleotides) under uncultured bacterium. RNAcentral describes it as "partial 16S ribosomal RNA". It matches the Rfam family "Bacterial small subunit ribosomal RNA", at positions 524 to 777 of the family's 1533-position model. The record is from RNAcentral.